Molecule: long non-coding RNA, 255 nt
Filed under: Elaeis guineensis (African oil palm)
Lineage: Eukaryota; Viridiplantae; Streptophyta; Magnoliopsida; Arecales; Arecaceae
Description: long non-coding RNA (EGUI_LNC000402)
Source: RNAcentral
UGAAGUUGCAAAGUGCUUGUAGAGCAAGAGCUCCUGAAAUUCUCUUAUAUGAAUUCGGUAGCUAGCUGCUUUUGCAAGACUGUAGAUUUAAAUUAGCUGAUUAGUUAAAAAAUAAUAUUUUGUACCAUAUAGAAGGCAAAGUCUUGCAACAUUUAUUAUUUUAAUGAAAAAUUGAUAUUUUUUUUAUUCUUCCAAGUUAGUCUCGAUGGGAGCUAUCCCCUAUCUUCAUUUAUCUUCCUUCAUUUCUUGCAAUUU